Molecule: ribosomal RNA, 440 nt
Filed under: uncultured bacterium
Lineage: Bacteria
Description: partial 16S ribosomal RNA
Rfam family: Bacterial small subunit ribosomal RNA
Source: RNAcentral
CCUACGGGAGGCAGCAGUGGGGAAUAUUGCACAAUGGGGGAAACCCUGAUGCAGCGACGCAGCGUGAGUGAAGAAGUCAUUCGUUAUGUAAAGCUCUAUCCGCAUGGAAGAAAAUGACGGUACCUGAGUAAGAAUCCCCGGAUCACUACGUUCCAGCAGCCGCGGUACUACGUAGGGUGCCAGCGUUAUCCGGAUUUACGGGGUGUAAAGGGAGCGUAGUCGGCAUGUUAAGUCUUGAGUGAAAGGCGGGGGCUCAACCCUAGGACUGCUCUGGAAACUGGAAGUCUGGAGUGCAGGAGAGGUAGGUGGAAUUCGGAGUGUAGCGGUGAAAUGCGUAGAUAUCACGAGGAACACCAGUGGCGAAGGCGGCUCACUGGACUGUAACUGACGCUGAGGCUCGAAAGCGUGGGGAGCAAACAGGAUUAGAUACCCGAGUAGUC